RNAcentral lists this unclassified non-coding RNA (2337 nucleotides) under Hevea brasiliensis (rubber tree). The record is from RNAcentral. Lineage: Eukaryota; Viridiplantae; Streptophyta; Magnoliopsida; Malpighiales; Euphorbiaceae.
AGCUAAUCAAUCAUGAUCAAUUUUAAAUAUAUUGUUUUUUUUAUUAAAAAAAUGGAGGACAAAUAAUCAAUUGACCUUAAACUCAAAUUUCUUUUUUUUUUACAUUUUCCCACUCUUCUCCCUAAUGAGCCAGUUCUUGGUGUUCCUUUUUAGUUUUACUCCCUCACAAACAGGCUUACAUGUCUUUGGAACUAACUUGAUCUCUCUGAAUCAGAAAGAACCACAAACAUUCCGCGUCCAAUGACAGUAGCUAAUACCACCAAAAGCUCCGCGUAUAGUUUAAUGAUGUAUCUCGUUUGCAUUUUUACUUGAUAAAUCAUCUGACAUAUGGAGGAUCCAUAAACGCCCAGGUGAAGACUUGCUCAUAUUGAAUGGCUGCAUUUUCCCAGGAAUAGUCACGUCCCAUACCUCUCUUCAUCAAUCCCUCCCAAGAUGACUUAUGUUCUGUAUAAGUUCCAAUUGCCAGCUUCAGUGUAUCAAGCAACUUUUCACUCGUUAAAGGCGAAAAUGUCCACCCGGUGCCUUCACCUUUUCCUUCUUGAGCAUAUGGAUUAAAAUCCUUCACUGUGUCUCUUAGUCCCCCAGUGCUAUGAACAACAGGUAUGGUGCCAUAUCUCAUUGCAUACAAUUGGUUUAGGCCACAUGGUUCGAAUCUUGAGGGCAUCAGUAGUAUGUCACAUCCUGCUGUUAUCCUAUGAGAAACUGGAACAUUAAAUCCGACCCAAGCACGAAAUUUGUCUUUAAAAAGAUUCUCUGUAUGUCUCAUCCAGUCUUCAUAUUGUUUCUCACCAGAUCCAAGCAUUACAAAUUGGACAUCCUUCUGCAAAAGUUCUGGAAUUGCUGACAGGAUUAUGUCAACACCUUUCUGGUAGUCCAGCCUUCCAAUAAAUCCAAUCAGCGGACAAUCAGGUCGAAUUGGAAGGCCCAGUUCCUUUUGCAGAUCAGUCUUGCACUGAGCCUUUCCAGAGAGGUCAUUGAUGGAGUAAUGCGAAGCAAUAUGCUCAUCUGUCGACGGGUUCCAAUCAUUAACAUCUAUUCCAUUAGUAAUUCCAUUAAGAACUGACUGUCUACUGCUCAGCAGCUCAUGUAGCCCAUAUCCCCCUUCAGGAGUUGUUAUUUCCCAUGAGUAUCCCUGGCUAACUGUCAGUAUCCGAUCAGCAACUGAGAUUGCCCCUUUCAAAACAUUCACUGUUUCACCAGUGUCAAGCGCAUGGGCCCUUGCCCAUGUGGGAAAUAUCCAUUCAAGUGCUCCAUACCAUUGAGGAGGCAAUCCCAAAUUAUUGUAGGUUGCUGCAGGCUCCACUCCCUGAUGUGCAAUGUUGUGUAUUGCGACAAUACUACGAGCAUCCUUGUAAACACCAUAAGGACGAUACUUGGCUGCUAAAAGUAAAGGAACCAGGGAAGCAUGCCAAUCAUUAGCGAGAAACAAGCACUUCUCUCCAUAAGUGAACCCUCCCAGUGGAAGAACCAAUGGCGCUUCACAUGCUGCGUGAGAAAGCAAAGUGAAGCGAAACUGAUUAUCACCAAAUGCACCAUAAAUAUCACCAUAUGGCGUUCCAGGUCUGCGGUAAGAAGAGUGGUCCACAAAUACCCAAUCAACACCUGCCCUGUAUUCAUGGUAGAAGGCUACUUCCUGUGCAUCACCAAAGCAAUGGACCGUGGCCCGCACAUCAAGGUCAACAGCAUUGGCAUAUUUUUCAUCUGAAGGACCUCCAUUCAAAUACCUAGGUGAAACGACCAUUACACGAUGACCCCGAGCAGCUAGUGCCAUUGGCAAAGAGCCACAAACAUCUCCUAAUCCACCAGUCUUAGAAUAUGGAGCUGCUUCAGCAGUAACAAAAAUGAUAUUGAAAGUUAACUUGAUUGGAGUUUCCUCCAUCUCCUCAGCAUCUUCUCUCAAGUCAUCUCUAUCAUUGGCUACAAUAUCAUGAGAUUCUACCAUUGUUGCAUCACCUGCAACAGAAUGUGGAAUCAAUUGAAAACCAACAACAGAGCCGGAACCAUCUCUCUCAGGACCCAAAAGAAGCCCUUCUGACACUUUCUUAUUUUCAGCAAUUGAUGAACCAUCUGAAACACUACUUGUAACACACAAAGAUUGAACCUUUCUGUUUCUUCGUCCCUUCAACAACCAAGAAAAUCCCAAUCCCACUUGUCUCUCUACCCUCAAACCCUUCACAACUCUCCCUGACACACAUAAACAUGACUUAUUGCUAAGAUUUGUGGGUGUUCGAAGAGACCCCAUUUGGUAUUGACACCUGCUGUAAAAUCAAGAAUCAUGUAAAGACAAAAUCUUUCAAUGUAGAAAAUCUGAAAAAGUGAAAAAAAGUGAAAAUGAAA